AUGGGAUUGUGCAGACCCAGCUUUGGGCCCCGAGGACGCUGGAUUGGGGAUUGUUAUGCUAAUCGCCUGAGAUCAGCAGUUCCCGUGCCCUUCAGAUGGCAGUAGCCCCAAACUGGAAACGGCUGAGACAUCCAUCAGUGAGAGAGCAUGGGGCCAUCAAACCGGGGUGCAACCAAAGAAUGGAAAACUCCUCAGCCAGCAAUGAAAGGGAACAAGCUACUCAUCCAAGCCACACCACAACAUGGACCAAUGUCACAACCUCGAUGUGGAGUAAAAGAAGCCAGACUCCAGGGAGUUUAUGCCUCCAUGUAUAUGAAGUUCAAGAACAACUAAAACUAAUCUAUGGUGAGGGAAGUCAGAAUAGUGGCUGCCAACAGGGGACGGUCUUGACAGGAAGCAAAUAGAGGGAACCUCCUCGGGUGAUGGGAAUUCAUUAUAUCCUGAUCUGGGUGCAGUCACAUGGGUGUCUGUAUAGGGAAAAAUGCACCCGGAGGUACCCUUAAUAUUUGUUCGAAUUAAUGUACGUCACCUAUGCAUCCGUUAAAUCAUGGAAGUUAAAAAAAAAUUAAUUCAUUUAAGGGAAAAUACUAACUAGCAGUUUAGGGGUUCCGAUGAUAUGGCCAAAAAGCAAAAGCAAACAAGACAAACCCCAGCGACUGAAGGUGGGAGACGUAUCCUCGUUAAGUGCUGGGCAGUGCGGUUUUACUCGGUGUCCCCCUCUCAUAGGCUCCAGAUAACAUACAAGACGGACGCCUAGUGAAACCUGAAUUUCAGACGAAUAAAUAAAUACUUUUUUCUAGUAUAAGUAUGACCCAUUCGAUAUUUGGGACGUACUUACGCUAGGACGUUUAUUUGUUUGUGUGUUUGUUUGUUUAGCUUUGACUCGUUGUUUAUCAGAAAUGCGAAUUUAAUCGGGCGUCCUGUGUUUUUAUUUGCCAAAUCUGGCAAGCCUGCCCUCUCGGGGACCCCGCCCCGUCUCGCAGCCCGGUGCCCACCGCAGGCGGGAGCGCCCAGCGCGGUGCAGUCACGCCGGGCGCAGCCUGGCAACGCGGCCACAAAGGGAGCCCGGGAGGCGGAAUCUUUCCACAUGCCUGAUCAAUGGGGGCGCGGAGACGGCGGUGCAAACAGGCCUGAGACAGCCGCACAAAGAGGAGGCCCCUCGGCCGCUCCCGCCUUCCAUUGAUCCGGGCCCUUUGUGGCUCGGACAACGGGGGCGCGGGAGGCGCCUCGCAGGGACUUGGCCGUUCUCGUUAGGGGGAGAAAGCCCAGGAGGACCCCCGCCCCGCCACCCCACCCCACCGGUUCACCCUCCUGCGGGCUCCAGGUCUGAGGUCCGGGGGUGUCCACAUCCCUUCUGGAACACAGGGCAGGGCGCAGGGUGGUGUGGGGCCAGGCCUAGGAGGGUCCUGUAUUCCAGAAAAGUCUGCAGCCUGCCAGUGGGGCCAGCCAUCCAGCUCUGGCUUCCUGAGGACCCCCCAGUCUGCCCUGGCAGGCUUUUCUAUCCCCCUGGUUACAGGCAAGACUUGCACAGUCUUUAUUUUAUUUUUUGUUUAUUGAGCAAAUAUUUAUUGAGCAUUUGCUCCAAGAGGUUCCCACUCUCUCCUGCUCCUAUGGCCACUUAGAGUGGCCAAUUCCUUCUCAAGCAUCACCUCUCUGGGAAAGCAUCCCUGACCCCUCUCCCACCCCCAGAUUGGAUAGGGAGUCUUCCCCCCCCCCCCCCAUCUCUCUCUGUGCCUUCCAGUUCCCUAUUCUUCAGGAUAGGAACAGCUAUCAAUUCUUGGACAUUUGCUGCGCACAGUGUCAGGCCUCCCCUGGCCCUUUCGCAGACCAUCGCUCCCUACCUCCCACUCCGCCAAGCCGUUUGCCCUCCUUCCACGUCCAAACGCUUUGGCGUCAAAGAAACGCACUUGGGGCCCUGCUCCCCGGAGGCACCUGCGCCUCUGCGGUGGCCCGGGUUCAGCGGAAAUCAAGGCCGAGCCCACGAAGCGCCCGCCCCGGCCCCGGCCGCGGCCCGACCCGGGCCCGGACGAGCCGCAGCUCCCCAGCCCGCGGAGCUAGGGGCCCAGGCCGGGCAGGCGCGGGGCUCCCGGCGAGGCCUCCCUCCGACGUGGGUGGAGUCUGCGCCGGGCCUCGCUCCCGCCCGCUUUCUCCAGGAGUAAUUAAGAGUGAAAUCCUCCUCCUGGUGACCUCGGUGCUCCUGGCCCGGGCUGAUUUACACAUGAAAGGUCUACGGAGGGCCUGGGCUUUCUCCUUUUCACAUUCACAAUGAGGCGCGGCCUAUAAAUAAAACCUCUCUGAGAAACAA
Long non-coding RNA from Leopardus geoffroyi (Geoffroy's cat), 2305 nucleotides. RefSeq lists it as uncharacterized. NCBI's taxonomy places the organism in Eukaryota, Metazoa, Chordata, Mammalia, Carnivora, Felidae. The record is from RefSeq and is a predicted model, not a curated record. The transcript has 3 exons.